AGGUCUGGCCUGCACCUGGCAUACAAUGUAGAUUUCUGUGUUGUUCUGUCUACAGCUACAUUGUCUGCUGGGUUUCAGGCUACCUAUGCAAAACAGCCUU
This is a microRNA precursor of Lepisosteus oculatus (spotted gar), 100 nucleotides long. Ensembl annotates it as microRNA 221. Its record names the gene dre-mir-221. NCBI's taxonomy places the organism in Eukaryota, Metazoa, Chordata, Actinopteri, Semionotiformes, Lepisosteidae. The record is from Ensembl.